GCUUCCACUAGAUGUCAACGAUCUUUAUAAAGUUGUUUGAAGCGUCUAUGAUAAACAGAGAGCAAAUUAGAAUCCAAGGAAGUUGACAUGUCAUCACUUCAUUUUUUUGCGCCUGCGCAUAAAUCUGAGAAACGUGAGUUUGUCAUCAUUUUUUAUCUAGAAAUAGGAUAGGUUGUGUGAAAAUAUUACUGAUGUUUAACGUUAAAAAUGGACCAAAAGAUUAAUGCUAAACAACAUUUGACAUGUUUGAACGAACAUAAAUAGAUUAUUUACUAGGUUUUUUUAGCUUUUCGGCGUGAUUUUACCAGCCCCCCCAACCACGUUUUGUGGGAGCAUAAUGAACGCUAAGUACUUGGUGUUAUUUGGACAUAAAUUAUGAACUUUGUCAAAAGAAACCACAUUUGUUCCGGACCUGGAAUGCCUUCCGGACCUGGGAUCCUGCCUUCUGAUGGAGAUAAUCAAAGGUAGCGUUCUCCUGGCAUCCACCAAACCCAGAUUGGUCGUCGGACUGCCAGAUGGUGAAGCGUGAUUCAUCCCUCCAGAGAACCCAUUUCCACUGCUCCAGAGUCCAAUGGCGACUGGCUGACAGAGUAUAAUGGCACCAAUUUACUCUUCAAGACAACGUCCCUAUC
RNAcentral lists this long non-coding RNA (632 nucleotides) under Salmo salar (Atlantic salmon). RNAcentral's name for it is "lncRNA (ENSSSAG00000112828.1)". The record is from RNAcentral. Lineage: Eukaryota; Metazoa; Chordata; Actinopteri; Salmoniformes; Salmonidae.